UACGAACUGUGCGAACGUUAUUCGGAAUCACUGGGCUUACAGGGUGCGUAGGCGGCUUAGCAAGUCAGGUGUGAAAGCCCCCGGCUCAACCGGGGAACUGCGCUUGAAACUGCUGAGCUCGAGUCAGCUAGAGGUACACGGAACUUCCAGUGGAGCGGUGAAAUGUGUUGAUAUUGGAAGGAACACCGGAGGCGAAAGCGGUGUACUGGGGCUGGUCUGACGCUGAGGCACGAAAGCCAGGGGAGCAAACGGG
RNAcentral lists this ribosomal RNA (253 nucleotides) under uncultured bacterium. RNAcentral describes it as "partial 16S ribosomal RNA". It matches the Rfam family "Bacterial small subunit ribosomal RNA", at positions 524 to 776 of the family's 1533-position model. The record is from RNAcentral.